ACCUCUGUUCUUUGUGUAGCACCUGCUUUCCUAUUGCCUUCUAAAAACUAUGUCCACACAUAUGAGACUAAAACUUUCCUCUCUUGGGUGUCUCCUAUGUGGACUGGAGCUUCGGUGUCUGCACAGUUCCACACGAGCCAAGCCCGGCUUGCAGGGUCAAGCUGUCUUUUCAUAGUGGGAAAAAGCUGAUGAAAAUCCUUCACACAGAGGUGUUAAGAGCUUAAUGAUGAACACUCCCACAUGCCUGAAAAGCUCGAGGCCACAUAGCAUGGACAGAAGAGCUGUGGACUGGUGGUGAGGGGUGUGAUUCCAAAUCCCAGGGCUGCUAAACUAUGGUCUACCGACCAUAGUUAUUUUAUCCACAAAAUGAGAAGGGAU
Molecule: long non-coding RNA, 378 nt
Organism: Symphalangus syndactylus (siamang)
Lineage: Eukaryota; Metazoa; Chordata; Mammalia; Primates; Hylobatidae
Source: RefSeq, a predicted model, not a curated record